CCAGGAUCAUUCGCGUCUAAGGAGACUCAUUGUGUCUCUUCGCUGUGUGAAUAAGACUCAGGCCUUUUAUUUGCAACCCCGUCUCUGACCGGCACUGAGCUCACUCGCGUCGUUCACAUUUCUCAGGCAUGAUUUGUCUGCCGCUCGGUCCUAAGAGACGCGGCCUGGAGCGCUUCUGACAUUCAGCUGCAAUGAAAGCAGCCAAACAACCGUCAAGCUGUUGUUGGCUCUUCGUCUCCAUUAGAUCUGGUUUUUCGUCUCCUCCCAGGAAUGAACAAGGGCCAGAAAGAGAUGCAGCUGUGAAGGGAGGGGACCCUCAAAAACACACAAGCAGUAAUCAGAUUGCCACCAUGGCGUUACCGACAAGCAGGAACGUUCCCCAGCCUGCUGGUGCAUACUUUGCUUUUGUUUACCGCGGCCACAUCAGCUGCACUUCCUCUCCCUCGCUGCAAUAAAUGCCAGCAGUCAGGAAUUCACAGCACCAGCCUCGGUAUUUUCCACCCCCCUGUCAAAAGCCGUAUGCAGCCUCGUGCACCUCCUCGUUGACUCUGCUGCUUUAUCCUUCUUCCUUGACGUGCAUGUGCAGCCCUGACAUCAGCGAAGACAAACACAGAACCGUGUAGCAGCACAGUUGUACGAAAUACUAACGCCACCUUUUAUAUACUGAGCUCAACCUCUUUUACAACAAUGGCAAUUUUUGCAAUAGUCGACCUGAUAAUAUUUAAUAACAUUUUGUUUUGUAGAUGAAAGUUUGAACAAGCAGUAACUAACAAAUUUGAAUUUAUCUUCAAAAACCAAUGGAAUGUUGUUGUUUUUUGUUGCUUCUAUCAGGCCAAAGGAAGACAAAACGAUCCGCUCCUGUCGUCUCAGCCGUCUGUUCUGCCUCUUCCCCAAAGGAAAUUAACUGACAAAUUCCUCCUGACAGACAGCUGUUCCUCCCACAGCGGUUCUUCUUCAUAACCCCGCACCCUCCCCACGACACGCACACACACACACACAGCAAUGAGUUACUGCCUCCCAGGAGAAUAAAUCUGCAAUCAACUGGGCCUAUAAAUAGCUGUGGCACACUUCACUGCUGCUGAGGCCCCCUGCCCUUCCGAAGGAGCUGCUCGCACACACACACACACGCACACACACACACACAGACAGACACACAACCCUCUAACGCACUCUCACACCCUCUUAGGCUCUCCACCCCUAAUCCGAAGCAGGGCACCCAGCCUUUCUUUGCGACUCUGCUUCUCUACCCACCGAUGUUAUGUGCUAAUAUUUCUGCGAGCAAACACAUUAAACAGAGGCUAAUUAAAGUCAUUUGUAGCUCACAUAUCUGCACAUUAGUUCUAAUAGCUCUCAGGCAAUUAAAAGCACAAACCAGCAGCCACAUUAGCCAUUCUGUCUGAAUCGCAAUGCUUGAACCCUUUGAGAGACGCUACGCUAGGCUAGCGCUAGUUAUUGGUAGCCAGGGCUAAUCAGCUCAUUAGUCAGCAGGCUUAACGAGAUGUGUUACUUAAGUAGAUACUGUAUCAGGCGGGGGGGAUGAGAGAGGGAGGGAGGGAGGGAGAAAUAUCAAUCAAUCAAUCUCUCACAGGCGUCCACACAAUCAUUACAUGAAAAAGAACUAGAGAACUAGGUUUUAUAAUGGACACUUUCCAAACCUGUACAUGUGAAGUGUGAAAGACGUUCAUGUUGAAUCAACAGAAAGCUCCACCAGGAGUCAGAAGCAAAAAUAACAAAACACUUGCCAGAUGCAAAAGGCACACGUUUGAGUGGUAAUCAUCAAUAUUUCAUUCGUUUAUCUGAUUCAACAACCUUUUGCACACUGCUGGUGUGUGAUUUGUUUUUCUGAUGGGGAAUGAUAUCCAGGUUUUACACACCUGUCCAGUCCAUCCGUCUCCUUUCGUUCUCCACAGCUUCAUGCACGCAAGGGAUUUCCACCACUAAGGGGAAUUAUUUCUGGGCUUUUAUUAGGACCACGCUGUCGUGGUGCACCUUCCCCUUAAAGACAGUCUGGAGUCACGGCCCUCUUUUGUGUCUCUCAUUUAUUGCCAUUAAAUUGAAUUUAGAUCAGAUUUCCUGAAAAGGGAAUACUUCUCAAAAACAUGUUGUGUGGUUCAAAAUGCUCUGCACAGAGACAAACGCAUGACACUGUUACAAACUGAAAUCAAAACCUUUACCCAAAUUGUAUAUGACAAAAUGUAAAUUUCAAUAUCGGUUAGAGUAAUGUUACUUUCGGUCAUUCCAUACCCCAAGAUUUUCUCUUCCACCGUCUUGCGUAACAAGAUCUAAAAGAGCUGCUAACACAAUGGAAAUGUACUGCUACCACAUAUCAAUGAAACCCAUUCAGUUGUUACUUUCUUGUAAUUGCGCCUCUUGGUUUGUUUAUAUUUCCUGAGCAUGAAGGUAAGACGUGUCAAACAGAUCCCAGAAGAUAAAUGAAUACAUCUGCUGAAUAUUAAAUUAAACGGGAUCUUUGCCAAAAAAUAGGAUGUUACAUUUCUUCGGGUGGUGCAGGAGGAUCAUUUCUGGCCACCGUGACACACAGAGUACUUUCAGACAAAUAGAUGCUCCUUUGCCCUGAAAGUAGUUUGUACCACAUGAGAGGCUUGACAUUUAUCUAUUGAGUCCAGACUUUAAACUAGGGCUCAUGAUUAUAUCAUUAUUAUUAUAUUAGUAUAAGACACUUAACACCCUGUUUAUUAAUGUAAUGUGUAGUUUUCAAAAGAGGUCAGAGUUUAUCAUAUGAGGUUCAGAAACUACAUCCAAAACAAACUAGAAAUGCUUUCAGAAGGUCAGAUUGACUUAUUGAUGAACCGUAGGUAAGAUGAGGGCUCCUUCAUUGAUCGGUUAAGACCGAGCAGAGAUAAUCGUUUAUGUCUGCAGGUGCUUUGUGUGAGCAGGUAGUGAGUGACAUUCUGUGUUGGUGUGUGUGUUUGUUAGUGUGUGUCUGUGGUUACUGCGGAGCUACCAGACCCCUGACCUUUCCAUGUCCUGAUAGCGUCCCUGGGGAGAGAGGGAUAGAGCGAGAGGCUGAGGGAGGGGAGGAGAGAGGAGGGGGGAGGCCUUUGUUUUCUAGCCGCAGCAUUGAUGGAGCCGACAAUCUGUUUUGUGACCCCCAGCUUGGAAUCGUACAUUUAUGACGGACAUAAAACUGAAUAUCGCUGCGGAUUCGCGACCCACAUGUCGGUAUUGUUUCAUAUUUAAUAUUAUUUCGAGUCUCCAAUGUCUUUUGUUCUUUUAUUUAAGACUCGUACCCAAAGUUGAAGCUACCAAACAAAGGCUUGUCUUUCUUUGGGCUCCUCCGUCGGGAGAGGAGAAGCGUCACGUGAUCACACAGUCCAGUGUGUUGAUGCCAGAUUGAAUUGUCGGGAGUGUAAACCGCGCGGCUCACAGACAAGAAGCGCUAGUGUUGCCAGUGUGUUAAUGUCGACGCAGGGAGGGGAGGUUUGUGGUAAGUGUGUGGGGCGGGGGGGGUGUCUGGUGCUUCCGACCCACGAAUCACAUCAGCGCCUCCCUUCCUCCGCGGCCUCGCUUCCCCAUCAGGCUGCCCACCGUCGGCUCAUCCAUCACCAUCGCCCCGCGCGCUGUCCUCUCCCCUCCGUCUUCCGUCGCUCCACCCGGCCAAUUUAGUCCUCACUCAUCUUUCCCCUCUUCUGCAGAGCGCCGUGCUUUUGUCCUCCGUCAGGACCUCUUUCACUCCUUUCACCCCCCCCUCCCCUAAACCUGUUACUCUCUCCACACACACACACACACACACACACACACACACACACACACACACACACAAGCACACACACGCCACACACAUGCUGCCGUUCGGCCAUUUUCCAGGAGUUUCUCUGCAUCCAGAAUUAAAGAGCAUUACUGGCGCAGCAUCCUGGCCUCAACCUAUCAUGUUUGCACCGGUCGUCAUCCGUCCUCCCCCACCAGCACCACCACCCAGUGCCCCGUGGUCCCCAGGCUCUCUUUGCCUCUCAUUAACCCUGUCACGUUUACGGUAUGAAUUAAAUGAUUCCAGUGAUGCAUCCCCACGCAGCGAGGGAGCCACAGCCAGACCCCGACCCCCCCCUCCAGGCCGGAGGGACGGCCCGAGGCGCCGCUCUCCACCCUCAUUAUUACCGGCAUGGUGGUCGCUCGCUGCCACGCUGUUGUUUUAGCGUGUGUGUGUGUGUGUCUAGUGUGCGCCUGUCGUCCUUUGGAUAUUUAGCUUGUUGUCUGAAAGGACAUUGAAACAAGCUAAAUGCUUGUUGUUUUAAUACAUGAAAUGAUGUAAAUGAGUAAAUGUUGCACUGAGUGGAGUUUUUGCUAAAGUAGAUGUUUAAUAUCAUGGUUCCUAAUUCAAGCGAGUUCUGAAAUUAGAUAUAUUUGGGAUCUGUCAGUGUGCAAGAAUUAACGUAGGUCAAUUUAAGCAUUUCUAACAUGGCCAUUAAAAUUUACAGUUUAUUAUGCAAGGCAUAUUUUAUGUCAACUAUUGUCGGAGGAGGAUCAACUGUACUGUAGUGACACUAUUAGUGAGGACGCAGCAGUGAUAGAGGUGAACACUUUAUAGGAAAACUCAUUCAGAUGAUCAACAUUUUGCUAUCUUUGCUUUGAGCUUGUUUAAGUUGAGCAACCAUUUCCAAAUGUUAAGUAAAGUCAUUUCAAUGUCUGAAAUGACAGAAAUGCACAAUAUUUGUUUUGGGUGAAGGUCAGAGACUAAACUUUAACGUUUAGACUUUAGUCAAGAAAGUUCAUGGGGUAGGAAGUCACAUUGAUCACGCAAAGUCAAGAUUAAAUCAAAAUUCAAGUUUGAGUUUGAUUAUCUCAGGCAGUAAUAUGUUAGAUGAGUAUUUAAGUUAAAAGCUGUGACGAACCGUCUCAUAAUUUGAGAAUCAAAUAGUAUUUUCUAUCCUUCAUAAACUUUUAUAGAUUUAUUAUAUUAAUAUUUGUUUAUAUAUACUUGUUUUUUCAUGUUUUGUCACGCCUUCAAAUCAACCUGCCUCUCUGUCGCAUUGACAACGCAAAGGAGUUAAUUAUGUCUACUGCAUUUGACAGAUGGAGCUGCAGUCACUCACCAUGCUACAUAUAUCACAUAGUACAAAAUACACUUUAUCGCACAGAUGUUACAAAAAACUAAACCAAGUCCUGACUGAGCAACGACAACCCAAAAACAUACGGUUACACCAGUCCAAUGUUAUGCGGCGCCUGGUUCUCUCACUAAUUCAGAUGCUCGGUUACAGUGUGUUUUAAAUGUGACUGCUGAACCCGGACAGAAAGCUGUUGGAAAUAGCAAAACCUUUCCUGCAACACUGUUGGCCUUUUUACAACCAAACUGCAAUCGAUCCAAAUAAAAACGCCAGUCGCCUUCUUUUUCAUUAUCUCUCACCCACUGCUGCGGUGUGUAUGUGCGUGUGUGUGUCUGUGUUUAUGUGUAAGUGCAGUCAAAUGUGACUCAUGCCUCCUUAGGAAAGCAGCGCCUUGACACGUGUUUGGGUAAUGGCGCUAAUAUGCUCAUGAAUCCAAAUAAGCCCGGGAGUGUCAAAUAAAAGAGAGGGAGGGGUGUGUGUGUGUGUGCGUGUGCAUGCAUGCGUGUGUGCGUGCAUGCGUGCAUGCAUGUGUAUUCUUAAAGUUGCUGCCAACAGUCCAACGAGGCGUAUCAAUGGAAUCACGGUGUCUUUCCGUGGCUUUAAAGCGAACACAUACACCACCACCGUGAUGUCCCUGAUAAGACACUGUUGUUUGCUCGUGCGCGUCUGCGUGUGUGCGCGCGCACUGAAGGACGUGUCACCUACACUCAUUGAGACAGCUCGGUGCUGUUAACCUGUGUGUCCUCCUCAUUACGGCCCACGUCCGUGUUGCCAUGGACAUUAUGAGCGGAGGAAGAUAAAACAGGAGGAGGGAUUUGCAUGGCGAGGCCCCCUCCCCUCCUGCCUCCCCUCGUCUUUCUCGCUGAAAGCAGAGUGGCUCGCCACGCACACGCACGCAC
This is a long non-coding RNA of Gasterosteus aculeatus aculeatus (three-spined stickleback), 5962 nucleotides long. The record is from Ensembl. Lineage: Eukaryota; Metazoa; Chordata; Actinopteri; Perciformes; Gasterosteidae.